ACUCCUACGGGAGGCAGCAGUGGGGAAUAUUGCACAAUGGGCGCAAGCCUGAUGCAGCCAUGCCGCGUGUGUGAAGAAGGCCUUCGGGUUGUAAAGCACUUUCAGUCGUGAAGGAUGGUAAGUGUAGGUUAAUAGCUGCAUUAUUUGACGAUUAGACGAACAGAACGGAAGACACCGGCUAACUCCGUGCCAGCAGCCGCGGUAAUACGGAGGGUGCGAGCGUUAAUCGGAAUUACUGGGCGUAAAGCGCAUGCAGGUGGUUUGUUAAGUCAGAUGUGAAAGCCCGGGGCUCAACCUGCGAUUGCAUUUGAAACUGGCAGACUAGA
This 326-nucleotide ribosomal RNA is filed under the name uncultured bacterium. RNAcentral's name for it is "bacterial SSU rRNA". It matches the Rfam family "Bacterial small subunit ribosomal RNA", at positions 335 to 645 of the family's 1533-position model. The record is from RNAcentral.